RNAcentral lists this ribosomal RNA (433 nucleotides) under uncultured bacterium. RNAcentral describes it as "partial 16S ribosomal RNA". It matches the Rfam family "Bacterial small subunit ribosomal RNA", at positions 29 to 507 of the family's 1533-position model. The record is from RNAcentral.
AACGAACGCUGGCGGCAGGCCUAACACAUGCAAGUCGAACGAAGUCUUCGGACUUAGUGGCGCACGGGUGAGUAACACGUGGGAAUAUACCUUACGCUGGGGGAUAACAUCGGGAAACUGAUGCUAAUACCGCAUACGCCCUUCGGGGGAAAGAUUUAUCGGCGAAAGAUUAGCCCGCGUCCGAUUAGCUAGUUGGUGAGGUAAUGGCGCACCAAGGCUCCGAUCGGUAGCUGGUCUGAGAGGAUGACCAGCCACACUGGGACUGAGACACGGCCCAGACUCCUACGGGAGGCAGCAGUGGGGAAUAUUGGACAAUGGGCGCAAGCCUGAUCCAGCCAUGCCGCGUGAGUGAUGAAGGCCUUAGGGUUGUAAAGCUCUUUCACCCACGACGAUGAUGACGGUAGUGGGAGAAGAAGCCCCGGCUAACUUCGUG